GACGAACGCUGGCGGCGUGCCUAAUACAUGCAAGUAGAACGCUGAAGAGAGGAGCUUGCUCUUCUUGGAUGAGUUGCGAACGGGUGAGUAACGCGUAGGUAACCUGCCUUGUAGCGGGGGAUAACUAUUGGAAACGAUAGCCAAUACCGCAUAACAAUGGAUGACACAUGUCAUUUAUUUGAAAGGGGCAAUUGCUCCACUACAAGAUGGACCUGCGUUGUAUUAGCUAGUAGGUGAGGUAACGGCUCACCUAGGCGACGAUACAUAGCCGACCUGAGAGGGUGAUCGGCCACACUGGGACUGAGACACGGCCCAGACUCCUACGGGAGGCAGCAGUAGGGAAUCUUCGGCAAUGGGGGCAACCCUGACCGAGCAACGCCGCGUGAGUGAAGAAGGUUUUCGGAUCGUAAAGCUCUGUUGUAAGUCAAGAACGAGUGUGAGAGUGGAAAGUUCACAC
This 457-nucleotide ribosomal RNA is filed under the name Streptococcus sp. oral taxon C65. RNAcentral describes it as "bacterial SSU rRNA". It matches the Rfam family "Bacterial small subunit ribosomal RNA", at positions 28 to 469 of the family's 1533-position model. The record is from RNAcentral. Lineage: Bacteria; Bacillati; Bacillota; Bacilli; Lactobacillales; Streptococcaceae.